This is a long non-coding RNA of Rhea pennata, 603 nucleotides long. RefSeq lists it as uncharacterized. NCBI's taxonomy places the organism in Eukaryota, Metazoa, Chordata, Aves, Rheiformes, Rheidae. The transcript is spliced from 3 exons. The record is from RefSeq and is a predicted model, not a curated record.
GCGCGCUAACCCCCGCCGGACUGUGAAGUGCCCAAGGAGAGACAUAGCCCUGCAGCACACCCCUUCCCGGACCGCGAGUGCCCCGUGAACCCCCAAAUCCGCCGGGACCCCCGCGCGGGCGGGCGCGGGGCAGGCUGGGUGCUGUAGUCCCGGCUUGCCUUCCCCGCUCUCCGGAGUCGUCGUUCCGGCUCCUGCCCUCAGCCGCUCUCUGCCGGCAACCCGCAGCCCCUUCUCACGGCCCCUCGCUCAGCCCGACCCUGAUCUACGUUCUCGGCCUCUGUCGCGCGCUCCUCCCGACCAACCCUUCCCUCCCGGAAAGCAGCCUGCGCUCUCUCAGCUCCUGUUUGUUCCAGAAAGUGCCGCCAGAUUUCCUUGCCUCUAACUGCCUCUAACGGCUAACGCUGCCGCUGGGUCAUCGCAGCGCCUGCCUGGAUAGCUGUGCUGAUACAGAACGCUGUUGUAUGCAGUGAGGCUCAACAUGGCUAGUACAUUCGAGGAAACGCCUACACAUGAUGCUUCUCUUUCUGAAAAUGUUGAUGCUAAAUUGUCCUUUCUACCUGAAAAACUGAGAAAGAAACUGCUUCCUUUUCAGGAGAAAGGCAU